This 267-nucleotide long non-coding RNA is filed under the name Pelobates cultripes (western spadefoot toad). The record is from RNAcentral. Lineage: Eukaryota; Metazoa; Chordata; Amphibia; Anura; Pelobatidae.
CUGUUGCAUACUCCCUUGUAUACAGAAGUACUUACAGAAAGCAGUAGAUAAGACUAUAGUUGACGUGACUCCUACUUUCCUACAUCAGGACGUCACAGACCUCGAAGAUGACACUCCACAUACACCCCUUCAAGCACAUCAGUUCAAACAGACAACUGCUUUCCUGUAGGGAUAGUAUAGGGAAAGCAUCUGUCUUGGCAGGCGAGUCUCACGUGUGGAGAUGUAGUGGAUUAGCCGCUGCGGGUUACCCACGGAGUGAAGUGUUCG